CCUGAGGCGGGGGCUCCCGAGCAUUCCCCGGAGCGGGCACAAGGGACCAGUCACAGCAUGACGGGCAAAGCGGGGGACGCGCUGGCCCACAGCCUGCCCGGCAAACCCCAACCCCCCGAAGGCGCGCCUCCUCCUAUGCCGGCCUCCGGUUCUAAUGGGGCAGGGGCUGUAGUAGGGGGCUGUGCCACGGGGGCCAAGCCUAGCUCGGGCCCUACAGCACCACGCUGCACCGGCUUCGGCAUUCAGGAAAUCUUGGGCUUGAACAAGGAGCCGCCUUCCCAACCUCGCGCAGCCCUGGACUCCUUACCCGCCGGGCACCUGCUGGCGGCCCGCUCCGUCCUCAGCCCAGGCGGGGUGGGCAGCGUGGGCAUGGGCUUGCUGAGCACCGGCAGCCUCCCGGGUUUCUACGCGCAGCCCACUUUCCUGGAGGUAUUGGCCGACCCGCCCAGCGUACACCUGCAGCCGCUGGGCAGAGCCCCCGCGCAGCUAGACACCAGCCAGACGGCCAGCUCAGAUUCCGAAGAUGUUUCCUCCACGGACAGAAAAAUGUCGAAAUCGACCUUAAACCAGAGUAAGAAGCGGAAGAAGAGGCGGCACAGGACAAUCUUCACAUCCUACCAGCUGGAGGAACUGGAAAAAGCAUUCAACGAAGCCCACUAUCCUGAUGUUUAUGCAAGAGAAAUGCUGGCUAUGAAAACAGAACUUCCUGAAGAUAGGAUACAGGUUUGGUUUCAGAAUCGCCGGGCCAAAUGGCGAAAGAGAGAAAAAUGUUGGGGAAGAAGCAGUGUAAUGGCAGAAUAUGGCCUGUACGGUGCAAUGGUGCGUCACUCCAUCCCACUGCCAGAAUCCAUUCUGAAAUCAGCCAAGGAUGGCAUAAUGGAAUCUUGUGCCCCUUGGUUGUUGGUUCAAGAUGGCUUUCCCAUGCCCAGGCGCUUUUCUAAACCCGAAUACCAACAAUUCUUUUUAGGGAUGCACAAAAAGUCUCUGGAGGCAGCGGCUGAGGCAGGAAGGAAGCCGGAGAUGGAACGCCAGGCCCUGCCCAAGCUCGACAAGAGUGACAAGGAAGAAAGGGGGGCAGAUUCCAAAACUACCAUUUCCCAGGAGGAACUCAGAGAGAACAGCAUUGCUGCCCUCAGGGCCAAAGCUCAGGAGCAUAGCACCAAAGUCCUGGGGACCAUCCCUGGAGAUCCUCCUACCCCAGUCAGGAAGCCAGAAAAAGAGGAAGAGGCAGCCACGGCAGAGGAUGAUCGGCAAAUGGAAAAAUCAGAUUUAUUACAAGAGGAUGAAAAACUGGUUUAGAAGGAAGGGGAUGAUGGGAAAUCAGCCAUCUUCUUGAAGACUGACUCAUCUAGUAGCUUCCGCCUCCUCUCAGACUAAUGGGGUCCUCCCUGUAAUCCCUACUCACCUGGAGGGUGGAUCCACUUGGUCUCUAUACAUUUCAGGAAAUCACAGGCUAAGGCCAUGUUGUGCUGGGUGUGUUCAAAGACUGAUUCCCUCAGGAGCAUAUUGCCCCUGCAAUCUUUGUGCUCAGGAGCCGUUGGGCUCUGCCUCCCUCCAUUUCAAGCAGGGAGAGGGAGGUGGACAUUGAAUACUUUCACAGUUUAUUAAAUCAUUAUUGCCUUCCCCCACCUGCUAUUCAGCAUCCAUUAUUCCAUUAUCACUUCCUCUUUAAAAAUAGUCAUCUCAUUAUCUAGAUUCACACAUUGUGAUAAGCCAUGUUUUAUUUUAACUAUGAUUUUUUUUUAAGUAAGCUUCAAUGUUUAGUUUUGCUGUCACAUUUAAUCCAUAUACUUUAGUUUACAAAUCACAAUGUUUGGUACAGACAACAUACUAAGCCAAAGCAAACAAACAAACGAUACAAUGGCUUACCAUCCUGUCUGUGCUCAAUCAUUAUAUGCAGUGAUCAAAAUAAGUAUCUUUCUGCUUGACUUGAUCAGGUUGUUACCUUUCUCAGAAGAGAAUUAAAAGGCUUAAUUGUGCAUAUUUAUAUUUUCAUUUAAAACUGCCCAUUGCCUGGCAUUAAGGCUAUAUAAUAAAGGAAGCAUUCUUUUCCAAAAAUCAACCCAAAAUUUAAAAUUGAUCAGGGGGCAACCCUACCUCAUACUGUGUUCCUGAUUACAGCAUCAGCAUCAUUGAUUUAAGACGUUCAGCUGCCCUACUCUACUAACACAAUGUGAACUUUGCCUAAUAAUACCUAAUUUUGGACUGUUGAGAACCCCUGGUUAAGAUAUCCGGAUGUAGCUUGUCACAGUCUGCCUUUGCUUACCAUCUUGAAAUAGGUAAUGCCGUUUUUUCCCUAGAGCAUUUCAGGAGAAAUCAUAUCAAUAAAAUAAAUUAUAUUUGUAUGACACUGAGUUAAUUCCAGUGAAGAUUAUAUUCCAUAUAUUGUAACGUAAUCAUGAAUUGCUAUGGUUGGGAAUGGAGCACUCAGGGUACCAAGACUAUCUGGAUGCCAUAUCGUGUAACUCAGAUCCCAGCCACUUUUCCCAAUCUUGUGUGUUUAGCUUUAGCUAGGGUAGUUGAUGAUGUGAGAAAUGCAUCUCAGAGAUAAAUUUCAGUUGUUAUACUUGAUAUUCAACAUCCUUAAGGGACCGUGAACAAUGAAUUAAGCAAGAGUCUGAUUUCAUCUGCUCAUGAGCCUGGAUGGCUUCCUUAUGGUUCACAAAUUCAAGUCAAGAAAUGGAGAGUAAGACUUACCUCUAGUAGUGAUGUUUCUUGAGAAAGAAAUUUUCACUUGAGUUUUAAAAACCUAUUAGUACUGCAUUGUGUUUACAUUAAUAUGAAAAUUCUAUCAGAAGUGUUUCAUCGUUAGUGAUCAUUAACUAUCUUUGCUUGGUGUUGCAGUCAGCAAAUGGUAAAGAUAGAAUCACUGUAUUAGCAAAUACUUAUAGUCAGUUUAUGGUCAUUUAAGUAAUCAUAUCAAGUCAUUUAAGUAAUCAUAUCAAGUCAUCAAGUCAUCAAGUCUUAUUGCCUAAGAAACUCUGUUGCUCUUUUCUUUUUCGGUGAAGGCCCAGGAUAGCAAGUCCCCAUUUUUUCCCUGUCUUUAUUUUUAACAAGAGCUGUUUUAUUUAUGAUUGAUUUUCCUUGCUGAUAUAAUCCCUUUGUAUGUCCCCCAGUUAUCUGUUGUUUUAGAUAAUAACCCAUGGUAUGUAAAUAUUGUAUAUAUGGUAAGAAAAAUUGGUAUUUGAGGUGUUUAAGAUAAAAGGUUGUAACAACUAGUCUUUGAAACUUGUGAUUUUGUGCCAUUUUUCUGUAAAGAUAUAAAUCAGAAUAAAUCCAAACUGAAGAUGAACAAGAAUGAUGCUGCAGUAUAACUAAUAAGUGCUGUUUAGAUAUUGCAACAUAGGCAAUAUCUGAAUCAAAUAAAAUCCUUUUUAUGGCCUUUAGGCCACAGAGGGCUAUAUCUCAGCAUGAGAAGAAAACUACUAAUAUGAAAGGGACAUUUAGAAACAGCAUAUUAGAAACUGUAGAAACCUUCAUUAAAAUAUUGGAAACCUUCAUUAAAAUAUUUGAUUAUUAUUGCUAUUUUUCUGGCCUUCUAUGCAUAAAAAAAGCUUAAAACACGAAUGCUUUUAAGAGAAACCACCAGUUUAGAUGAAUCCACUCUAUCUUCUUUGACUUAAUGCUAAAUGAGAUGUAUCACCUCCAACACUUCUCUUUGAGCACUGAGGAAGACUGCAUUGUUUCCAACACUUGAAUCAAAAUGCCUUGACACAUUGUGUCAUGUUGUGUCCAUUCUGGAUUCUUAUAUCAGGCAGGGAAAAAAAACCAAAACAAAACCCAACAUUAUUUCUCAAAACAGCCCAUGAAUUUGUUAAACUUUACUAUCCUUAUUAAUAUUAGGAGAGAAAACCAUUGGAGACAAAUUCAUCAGUUACCAUUACUUCAGUACCAGAAAUAAGAUUAAAUAUAAAGAUGCCAGAGAAUGGCUGACUUUAAUAUUUUGCCAUCAUAGUGCAAGCUGCCUCUUUCUCCAAUAGCCUCUUCAUCACUUAGAUUUAAAGGAAAAUCUGAUUGAAGGAGGACCGAUAAUAGUCUGCAAUUGUUUUGAAAAUGGACUACUGAAUUCUAAUGUUACUCCCUCCAUCUUUCUUGCUAUUGGAUGAGAGGAUAGAUACGAAGUCACUGAUUAUUUGUUCCUUAUUGUGUUUGGAUAUUUUCUGUGUCUAUGUUUGCAUUACAUAAUGAAUAUUUUUUCUGCUCAAAAGCUUUAUACAUGAGUUUUGAAUAUUUAUUUAUUAUUAUAAAUAUUGAGUUCCUGCUAGUUUCUAAUACCAUCUAGAUGUGUUAACAUGUUGAAGCAUUACAUA
This is an RNA transcript of Crotalus tigris (Tiger rattlesnake), 4310 nucleotides long. It is a transcript of the gene named visual system homeobox 2, with no coding region annotated. The transcript is spliced from 6 exons. The record is from RefSeq and is a predicted model, not a curated record. NCBI's taxonomy places the organism in Eukaryota, Metazoa, Chordata, Lepidosauria, Squamata, Viperidae.